UUUAAGAUUCUUUUUAUUAAUCUCUUAAAAAAGGUAAUAAAUAAAAGUAAAAAAAAUCUUAAAAAUUAAUAUUAUAUUACAAAUCGUGAAAGCCUCGCGGGCCGCACAAAAUGGCUUGGCGGGCCACCUUUUGGACAGCCCUGGUUUAGAAGCACGGAUAUAACUGACUCUCUUAUUAAUAAGUUGAUGGAUGAAAUAAAGAAGAAGAAAAGCGGAAAAUUGGACGAAAACCCAGCGGGAGAUAGCCCCACCAAUCAAGUGACAGAUAGUGAGGGACCAAGAAGAUACACAGUGAUACCAAAGACACUGAAAGAUUUUAAACAGUUAAGAGAGAAAUUAAGAAGAAUAAGGCAAAGCCAGUGUAUAAAAGACCGCCCACUAUAUUUAACUUACUAUGGAAUGUCAAAGAUCCGCACAAACAGGACGAGAGAACUGGAGUGUACACCAGUGUUUCUCAACACAAUUGAUACUGCGGACCAAUAAAAAUUUUAAGCUUGUAUUUCAGACCACAGAAAAAGUUGC
This 522-nucleotide long non-coding RNA is filed under the name Androctonus crassicauda. The record is from RNAcentral. Lineage: Eukaryota; Metazoa; Arthropoda; Arachnida; Scorpiones; Buthidae.